UUUUUUUCAAAUAUCAUAAUCAUAUUGAGCUGAAAAUUUGAGAAUGUUUAUUAGUCCUACUAAGAUAUUAUUGUUCUUUAGUAGGUGCUAGAAAAUUGAGAAAUGAUGCUCCACUACAACAAAUAGGGUUUGUUCCAACAGUUUUUUAGCCAGCAGUUAAGCUAACUGCUGCUAAAACUAAUAUACUAGCAUUUUUUUUAUUUUUUCUAUAAUAUUUAGUAAACCACUGGUAUAGUGGUGAUAAUUUUUAAUUGUAUAAACAAUAUUGGGCCAUAUUUUAUUAGCUUAUUCAAUCAAUUGGGCCAACAUUGGGUUUAAACAAUAUUAUAAUUAUACAACCUGAGAGCUCUUGUUCAUCUAUCUCUCUCUCUCUCUCUCUCUCUCUCUCUCUCCCUUUUUCAAAUCGGAGAUCUCCACCACGAGCUCGAGCUCGAGCUGCUCUACCUAGGGAUUUUCGGAGAUUUCGCCCUCAAUCGCCUUUUCGGGCAAUUUCUCACUUGGAUCUACCCGGAGAUUGGUCUUCUUCGAAUGAUUUACCCAAAAAUUUUGGGCUAUUUGCUGCUAAAUCGACCUCAAUCCAGUUCUCUAAGAAAGGGUUUCACUAAUUUCAGCUGAUUCUAUAGCCUGAGUUUCCCAAUCACAAUAUUUCACAUUUUUUUCAAUUAUUUGGAGUUGAUUCCUUGUGAUUUGAUUUUUAUUAAGGCAUUUUGUUGUUUAAUUGCAUAUUGUAAUUGUAUAAUUUGAUUCUGUUUUAGGUUUACUGUUUUGAGUUUUUUUUUCUUUUUCUAAAUAUCCAUUGCUAGAUCUGUGAGUGGACAAAUUGAAGAGAACAACUAAUUUAUUUGCUUAUAAGAAUAGAAUGUGCAUGAAUAGGAUAGAAUAUAGGAUAUAUAUAUAUAUAGAUUGAUGUAGAUAUAAAUUAUGCAUAAUAUUGUUGCAGUGCUUUGUUGAGUCUGCGUGGUAUAGUUGCAGUUUGUAUUACUUUGCUUUGUUGAUGUAAGUGCUAAAAUAAGCCCCGGUUGAAAUGUGAUCUCUUAGGCUAGAGUUUAAGUGCUUGAAGAAUCUCUUUUAGACUUUGGAUAGGUUGGCCUGAACCACGGACGAAGCUAGCACUCGAUUAUGAGGGAGGCCAAAAUACAUAAAAAUUAAAAUUUUAGCAAAUAAACAAGAUUUACGUAGUCAAAUUUUUUAUGAGAAAAUAUAUUGGCUAAAUAAUUAGUGUAAAAAAUCAUUACCCCUUUUUAUGUAUACUUACUUAACUUCUAAUUAUUUUACUUAUAUUAUUUCACUUAAAUAACUUUGAAAUUUACUAAAUCUAAUAGCAAUUCAGUAAAUGAUUUAAUUUUUUAAUUUUUACUAAAUAUAAUUGUGACAAUAAAUAACUAUUAGUUGACAGAGCU
Molecule: long non-coding RNA, 1400 nt
Filed under: Ananas comosus (pineapple)
Lineage: Eukaryota; Viridiplantae; Streptophyta; Magnoliopsida; Poales; Bromeliaceae
Description: long non-coding RNA (ACOM_LNC024188)
Source: RNAcentral